This 429-nucleotide ribosomal RNA is filed under the name Bacteroidota bacterium. RNAcentral describes it as "Bacteroidetes bacterium partial 16S ribosomal RNA". It matches the Rfam family "Bacterial small subunit ribosomal RNA", at positions 355 to 776 of the family's 1533-position model. The record is from RNAcentral. Lineage: Bacteria; Pseudomonadati; Bacteroidota.
UAGGGAAUCUUCCGCAAUGGACGCAAGUCUGACGGAGCAACGCCGCGUGAGUGAAGAAGGAUUUCGGUUCGUAAAACUCUGUUGUUAGAGAAGAACAGCGCAUAGAGUAACUGUUAUGCGUGUGACGGUAUCUAACCAGAAAGCCACGGCUAACUACGUGCCAGCAGCCGCGGUAAUACGUAGGUGGCAAGCGUUGUCCGGAUUUAUUGGGCGUAAAGCGAGCGCAGGCGGUCAAUUAAGUCUGAUGUGAAAGCCCCCGGCUCAACCGGGGAGGGUCAUUGGCAACUGGUUGACUUGAGUGCAGAAGAGGAGAGUGGAAUUCCAUGUGUAGCGGUGACAUGCGUAGAUAUAUGGAGGAACACCAGUGGCGAAGGCGACUCUCUGGUCUGUAACUGACGCUGAGGCUCGAAAGCGUGGGUAGCAAACAGG